UUUUCAUUUGUUUACCUUUAUUCUUCCUUUACGUUAUCUAACACCUUCUUGUUUCUUGUGUUAGUAGGAUUUAAACGUGUGCACAACUUCUUCCUCGGUGCAACACGAAUCAAUUGGUGUCUCGUCAGUUUUUGGCAUCCUAAUGCAAAUUAGGAUUCUUUGGUAGUUUGGUUCACACUCUCUAAUUGGUUGAUAUAAACUCUGAUAAAGAACUCACAAGAUUGAAUUCGACCUCAUUGAGAAUUUGAUUUUUUCUUUUUGAGUGAUUAACGGUGAGGUUUGAUAACUUUUAUUUUUGAGUGUUGAGUGUUUUGCAGGUUUUAAAAAAAAAUGUCUACAGGUGAUAAUA
RNAcentral lists this long non-coding RNA (349 nucleotides) under Gossypium barbadense (sea-island cotton). RNAcentral describes it as "long non-coding RNA (GBAR_LNC013538)". Lineage: Eukaryota; Viridiplantae; Streptophyta; Magnoliopsida; Malvales; Malvaceae. The record is from RNAcentral.